RNAcentral lists this ribosomal RNA (2037 nucleotides) under Triticum aestivum (bread wheat). Its description in RNAcentral is "partial small subunit ribosomal RNA". Lineage: Eukaryota; Viridiplantae; Streptophyta; Magnoliopsida; Poales; Poaceae. The record is from RNAcentral.
AUGGAGAGGCCAUUAUCCACAAGCAUCGGAAAGAAGCCUCAGGUUAUCAAGGCAACCUUGAUGAGAUUCAAUGAUGCACAUCCUUCCGAGAAUACCAGCAACAAGAAUGAAAAGGUAAGGGUUCUACCGUGCCGGCCUGAAGGCUUUGCCUCCUUGCGGAUUGGCCUGGCGCGCGAGCAAAAAAUGGUUGACCCGACCCAGCACGACAUGGUUUCGAGGCGAUCCGAGUUGAGUUUAGGCUUUCUGUCCCAUUUUGGUAUUCUGCGUUGUUCGGCCUUUCGGCCAUUUUAUUGUUUCAGUCAGAAAGACCAAAAUAGCUCCAAAGACAAAAAAAGCCCCAACAUCACUAAAACGGGCAAACUUUGGCCACGUGCGAGGCUUGCUCGUGCCGGCCUGCGAAUAAAAUGGCCACCCCCUCCCCCGCGAGAACCGUGCGACAACCCCCACCACCUCCCCCGCAGGCCCUUCUGGGCCGGCCCAGGUGGGGCACGAGAGAGACUGACGCGUGGGGUUUACUCUGCCAUCAUCAAGGUCGAACCAGAUCAGACUCUCCCCUUCUCGUCAUUCCCUCGCCGCCGGCGCCACCGCGUCCGAUGGUCCAUCCUCACCCAGGCUCUCUCGUCUCCCUCGGCCUUUCCCUUCUCCCCGCUCCGGUGCCUCAUCUCUGUCGCUGCGUCCGCCAUCUCUUCGAGCCCUAGCUUUGUCGUGGAGGACUAUCUCGUCGAGACCUGCGGCCUCAGACAUGCACAGGCCCUCAAGUCCCCUCCAAGCCUGACGCCGACCUCGCCUUCCUCGCUGGACUUGGCAUCUCCACAACCGAUAACCCUUGCCCCCGUCGUCUCCGGGCUCACCAAUCUGGGUCUGCCGCGCCCCGAGAUCGCGCGUCUCGUCCCGCUUGUCUGCAAAUCCUUCUGCUUUAGACCCACCGUCCCCAAGCUGGAGUACUGCAUGCACCUCUUCGGCUCCUUCGACAACCUCCUCCGGGCGCUCAGGCGCAGCUCCUACAUUCUCGGUUACGGCCUCGAGAGGAUGGUCAAGCCCAUUGUCGCGUUACUGCAGGAGUGCGGGCUAGAUGAUUGCAACAUUGCCAUGCUAUGCAUCGCUACACCGAGGCAUGCGCUCAAGGUUGUUGCAUGUAUCUGUGAGGAGAAUAUUGCCGCCAAAGUGGACUGCUUGAAGAACACCUUCAGGCGGUCAGAUGUUGAGGUGGACAUUGUUGUUUCUAGGGCUCCAGUUGUGCUGCUGAGGUCCAAGGAAUCGCUGCAACGUAGGUCUGAGUUCCUGAUCUCUGAGCUGGGGUUGGAAUCGGCCUACGUGGCUCAUCGGCCAACGUUGCUCAUUGAUAGUAUAGAGGGCCGGAAGCAAGCAUUGCCGACAAUCUCUGAAGAUGAGAAAUCCAGGAAUAUAUUUGUGUUUCCAACUUAUGCUUGCUUAAGAUCAUGGAAACUGGUUGACCUUAUUUUUGCUGGGAAACUCAUUCCUCUUCUCUAUUUUUCCAUGAGAGAAGAUGACAUGAUUUGGUGUGAGGUCCCGUACAUAUAUGCUUUUAUGAAAGAUAGUGCAUUUGGGUGGAUGAGCAGAUGUUUAGGCGGAGCAAGACAGGCACCCUACCGCAGUCAUAGCGUCCAUCAUGCUGCCAAGACGGUCCCAGUGUUGCUGUCUAGGAGCAAGUGCCAGAGCUGCAAAAAGGACGGAAAUUUUGAAUAUAGUCAUUGGCCAUCACAUAUACACCUGCUCAAUAACAAUAACAUCUUGUUUUGUGUCGUCCAAAGGAUCCGGGUUAUCACUGCGAACAGUAGCCAGAAGAGACAUCUCCAACCGUGUAUAUUUUCUCUAGCCAUCGAAAUAUUGUUUAUGGUGGCCCCCACAUUGUCAAAUCCUAGAUCCGCCACUGCAUAUGAAGAUGCUGAUCUUCAACGGGAUGAGCACUUCCAUGGGAGUGUGGUCCAUCAAGAGUCGGCGCACAACAAAGAGCAUGAUAUCACCUUGUUUGGUCAAAUGACAUUAAGCUUUUCUGUUGAACUUGUUGUCUUCUAG